RNAcentral lists this ribosomal RNA (253 nucleotides) under uncultured bacterium. RNAcentral's name for it is "partial 16S ribosomal RNA". It matches the Rfam family "Bacterial small subunit ribosomal RNA", at positions 524 to 776 of the family's 1533-position model. The record is from RNAcentral.
UACGUAGGGGGCAAGCGUUGUCCGGAUUCAUUGGGCGUAAAGAGCGUGUAGGCGGCCAGGCAGGUCCGCUGUGAAAACUCGAGGCUCAACCUCGAGAUGUCGGUGGAAACCGUCUGGCUAGAGUCCGGAAGAGGAGAGUGGAAUUCCCGGUGUAGCGGUGAAAUGCGUAGAUAUCUGGAGGAACACCGGUGGCGAAGGCGGCGUUCUGGACUGCUACUGACACUGAGGAACGAAAGCCAGGGGAGCAAACGGG